AAGGCUUUAAGUUAAAUAAACUCAUAACCUUCAAAGCUAUAAAUAAAGAAUAAUCUUUAAGCCUUA
Molecule: transfer RNA, 66 nt
Filed under: Balta curvirostris
Lineage: Eukaryota; Metazoa; Arthropoda; Insecta; Blattodea; Pseudophyllodromiidae
Description: tRNA-Trp
Source: RNAcentral